Molecule: long non-coding RNA, 671 nt
Organism: Aegilops tauschii subsp. strangulata
Lineage: Eukaryota; Viridiplantae; Streptophyta; Magnoliopsida; Poales; Poaceae
Source: RefSeq, a predicted model, not a curated record
GCAGGGUUGUCAUCAGUUUCCUCAUUGGUGCCCUCAAUGGAUAGAGCGUCUCAGUGGAGCUGCUGAAGCUAGACGCUCAACCUGCACAUGAGUGAGUGCUCGUGGAAGCGCGCUGCAAACAUGUCGAUGGUGGCUGCUGAAGCUUGACUUUGGCAACGAGUCCAGGUGGCCAUUGGCACAGACAUGUCAUCCGUGAGCUUUAGUUCCAGGCGAGAUUCCAAGAGGAGCAGCAAGCAUCGCCGCCACACGGAAAACUCCAGUAACUUCUUGCCCCUUCCAGCCUCGGAUCACGAACGACUUCAAGCUGAAGAUGUUGAACCAUGCGAUGCAAGAAUUAUUAUUUUGGGCUCCUAUGGAAGGUAUUAUUCUCGUGCAAAACCCUAUUCUCCCCUCUUUCUUGAUCUAUUAGGGUCAUAAAUCUGGAAUCGUGGUUUACUACUUGAAAGUCCAUGGUCAGUCUUAGCCUCAUUCUCUUGAUUAACAGCAGAUUUAUGCUCUUCCUGUUGUAUUCAGUCAAGGAACGUACAUAGAUAUUGGAAGCUAUACACUAUAAUGGAAUUUCUUCUGCUCUCGUAUGGAAACCUGCAACACACUGAAUGUUUUAUUUGUCGAUGACAAUGAAUUACUCAUGUUUUGUCUAAAAAAUGUGAAACAAUUCUUAUUUGCACUUU